UUAAAGGGCCGCGGUAUUCUGACCGUGCGAAGGUAGCAUAAUAAUUAGUCUCCUAAUUAGAGGCUUGUAUGAAUGGUCGGACAAGAUGGAAACUGUCUCAAUACAAUAAAUAAAAUUUAAUAUUUAAGUAAAAAAGCUUAAAUAAUAUGGAGGGACGAUAAGACCCUAUAAAGCUUUAUGUUAUAUCUCUUUAAUAUAAAUUAUAAUAUUAUUAACUUAUUUUAGAAGAUAUAUCAUUUUACUGGGGCGGUAAAAGUAUAUUAAAGAAUAACUGCUUUUGUUUUAUGUAACAAUUAUAGUUGAAAAUAAAUUGAUCCAUUAUUAAUGAUCACAAGAACAAGUUACUUUAGGGAUAACAGCGUAAUUUUUUUUGAGAGUUCUUAUCGAAAAAAAAGUUUGCGACCUCGAUGUUGAAUUAAGGUUACCUUAAGGUGCAGUAGUUUUA
Molecule: ribosomal RNA, 445 nt
Filed under: Pterygosquilla schizodontia
Lineage: Eukaryota; Metazoa; Arthropoda; Malacostraca; Stomatopoda; Squillidae
Description: partial 16S ribosomal RNA
Rfam family: Bacterial large subunit ribosomal RNA
Source: RNAcentral